This is a long non-coding RNA of Eptesicus fuscus (big brown bat), 107 nucleotides long. RefSeq lists it as uncharacterized. The transcript has 3 exons. NCBI's taxonomy places the organism in Eukaryota, Metazoa, Chordata, Mammalia, Chiroptera, Vespertilionidae. The record is from RefSeq and is a predicted model, not a curated record.
UGACAUACCAAGCUGGAAGCAAGCAGAGGCCAAGCUUGCAAAAGGUGGUGUAUGAAUUUUAAGGAGAAAUUCACUUUUCCAAUGAGUGAGCUUAUUACAGAUAUCAG